AUUGAACGCUGGCGGCAUGCCUUACACAUGCGAGUCGAACGGCAGCAUGAUCUAGCUUGCUAGAUUGAUGGCGAGUGGCGAACGGGUGAGUAAUACAUCGGAACGUGCCCUGUAGUGGGGGAUAACUAGUCGAAAGAUUAGCUAAUACCGCAUACGACCUGAGGGUGAAAGUGGGGGACCGCAAGGCCUCAUGCUAUAGGAGCGGCCGAUGUCUGAUUAGCUAGUUGGUGAGGUAAAGGUUCACCAAGGCGACGAUCAGUAGCUGGUCUGAGAGGACGAUCGGCCCCACUGGGACUGAGACACGGCCCAGACCCCUACGGGGGGACGGAGGGGGGAAUUUUGGAAAAGGGGGGAAAGCCUGAUCCAGCAAUGCCGGGUGUGUGAAGAAGGCCUGCGGGUUGUAAAGCCUUUUUGUCCGGAAAGAAAUGGCUCUGGUUAAUACCUGGGGUCGAGGACGGUACCGGAAAAAUAAGGACCGGCUAACUCCGG
Molecule: ribosomal RNA, 489 nt
Filed under: uncultured bacterium
Lineage: Bacteria
Description: partial 16S ribosomal RNA
Rfam family: Bacterial small subunit ribosomal RNA
Source: RNAcentral